Molecule: ribosomal RNA, 432 nt
Filed under: uncultured bacterium
Lineage: Bacteria
Description: bacterial SSU rRNA
Rfam family: Bacterial small subunit ribosomal RNA
Source: RNAcentral
GACGGUACCUGAAGAAUACCAUCGGCUAACUCCGUGCCAGCAGCCGCGGUAAGACGGAGGAUGCAAGUGUUAUCCGGAAUCACUGGGCGUAAAGCGUCUGUAGGUGGUUUAAUAAGUCAACUGUUAAAUCUUGAGGCUCAACUUCAAAAUCGCAGUCGAAACUAUUAGACUAGAGUAUAGUAGGGGUAAAGGGAAUUUCCAGUGGAGCGGUGAAAUGCGUAGAUAUUGGAAAGAACACCGAUGGCGAAAGCACUUUACUGGGCUAUUACUAACACUCAGAGACGAAAGCUAGGGUAGCAAAUGGGAUUAGAUACCCCAGUAGUCCUAGCCGUAAACUAUGGAUACUAGAUGUUGAACAGAUCGACCUGUGCAGUAUCAAAGCUAACGCGUUAAGUAUCCCGCCUGGGAAGUAUGCUCGCAAGAGUGAAACUC